Molecule: unclassified non-coding RNA, 234 nt
Filed under: Hevea brasiliensis (rubber tree)
Lineage: Eukaryota; Viridiplantae; Streptophyta; Magnoliopsida; Malpighiales; Euphorbiaceae
Source: RNAcentral
ACACCCCAACUCCCUUUCUCUGCUUCAAAAAAGCGUACUAUUAACUGAUAGUAAUUGCCUUUCGAUUAAAUAAUAAUAAUAGUAAUAAACCAUAACUUGAUCUUGAUCAUCUCUGUUUCACUCGAGUUAUGAUCUCACCAAAAUUGGAUACUUGAUUCCCAGUUUACCUUCAUCUUUACUAUCUCAUUACCAUUUGUAGAACCGCUCCUCUUGCUCCUUGAAUCUCUUCAAUAC